AGGAUGAAUGCUGGCGGCGCGCCUAACACAUGCAAGUCGAGCGGAAAGGCCCUUCGGGGUACUCGAGCGGCGGACGGCUGAGUAACGCGUGGGAACAUGCCCCAAAGUGAGGAAUAACUGCCCGAAAGGGUAGCUAAUGCCGCAUAUGAUCUUCGGAUUAAAGGAUUUAUCCGCUUUGGGAGUGGCCCGCGUACGAUUAGGUAGUUGGUGAGGUAAAGGCUCACCAAUCCCACGAUCGUUAACUGGUCUGAGAGGAUGAUCAGUCAGACUGGAACUGAGACACGGUCCAGACUCCUACGGGAGGCAGCAGUGAGGAAUCUUCCACAAUGGGCGAAAGCCUGAUGGAGCGACGCCGCGUGCAGGAUGAAGGCCUUCGGGUUGUAAACUGCUUUUAUAAGUGAAGAAUAUGACGGUAACUUAUGAAUAAGCACCGGCUAACUACGUGCCAGCAGCCGC
This 456-nucleotide ribosomal RNA is filed under the name uncultured bacterium. RNAcentral's name for it is "SSU rRNA". It matches the Rfam family "Bacterial small subunit ribosomal RNA", at positions 26 to 518 of the family's 1533-position model. The record is from RNAcentral.